CGGCGUAAAGAGUGGUUAUGGGUAAAAUAACACUAAAGCUAAAGACCUCUCAAGCAGUCAUACGCACCCAGAUGCUCGAAACACCAGAACGAAAGUCGCUUUAACUCACCCACCAGAACCCACGACAGCCGGGAAACAAACUGGGAUUAGAUACCCCACUAUGCCCUGCUAUAAACUUUGAUGCAUAGACACAAUAAACAUCCGCCAGGGAACUACGAGCGUUAGCUUAAAACCCAAAGGACUUGGCGGUGCUUCAGACCCCCCUAGAGGAGCCUGUUCUAGAACCGAUAACCCCCGUUUAACCUCACCACUUCUAGCCCUUCCCCGCCUAUAUACCGCCGUCGUCAGCUUACCCUGUGAAGGCACCAUAGUAAGCAAAAUGGGUAAACCCCAAAACGUCAGGUCGAGGUGUAGCACACGAAGUGGAAAGAAAUGGGCUACAUUAUCUGAAACAGAUCACUAACGAACGGUCCCUUGAAACAAAUAGACCCAAAGGAGGAUUUAGCAGUAAAGAAGGAAUAGAGCGCCCUCUUGAAGCCGGCCCUGAAGCGCGCACACACCGCCCGUCACUCUCCCCGACAACC
This 584-nucleotide ribosomal RNA is filed under the name Pellona flavipinnis (yellowfin river pellona). RNAcentral's name for it is "partial 12S ribosomal RNA". It matches the Rfam family "Bacterial small subunit ribosomal RNA", at positions 556 to 1414 of the family's 1533-position model. The record is from RNAcentral. Lineage: Eukaryota; Metazoa; Chordata; Actinopteri; Clupeiformes; Pristigasteridae.